This 545-nucleotide ribosomal RNA is filed under the name Plectosphaerella cucumerina. Its description in RNAcentral is "eukaryotic LSU rRNA". The stretch from base 159 to 312 matches the Rfam family "5.8S ribosomal RNA". The record is from RNAcentral. Lineage: Eukaryota; Fungi; Ascomycota; Sordariomycetes; Glomerellales; Plectosphaerellaceae.
CCUCCAAGUGCAUAUAGAAGUGAGUACUACACUCUCUACCCUUUGUGAACUAUUAUACCUGUUGCUUCGGCGGCGCCCGCAAGGGUGCCCGCCGGUCUCAUCAGAAUCUCUGUUUUCGAACCCGACGAUACUUCUGAGUGUUCUUAGCGAACUGUCAAAACUUUUAACAACGGAUCUCUUGGCUCCAGCAUCGAUGAAGAACGCAGCGAAACGCGAUAUGUAAUGUGAAUUGCAGAAUUCAGUGAAUCAUCGAAUCUUUGAACGCACAUGGCGCCUUCCAGUAUCCUGGGAGGCAUGCCUGUCCGAGCGUCGUUUCAACCCUCGAGCCCCUGUGGCCCGGCGUUGGGGAUCUGCCACGGCAGGCCCCUAAAACCAGUGGCGGACCCGAAGGCCCUCUCCUUUGCGCAGUAGCAUCAGCCUCGCAUUGGGAUCCCUCGGCGUCCUGCCUCUAAACCCCCCACAAGUCCGCUCCGGCGGCACCAAGGUUGACCUCGGAUCAGGUAGGAAUACCCGCUGAACUUAAGCAUAUCAAUAAGGCGGAGGAA